AUUGAACGCUGGCGGCAUGCUUUACACAUGCAAGUCGAACGGUAACAGGCCGCAAGGUGCUGACGAGUGGCGCACGGGUGAGUAAUGCAUCGGAACGUGCCCAGUCGUGGGGGAUAACUACUCGAAAGAGUAGCUAAUACCGCAUACGAUCUAUGGAUGAAAGCGGGGGACCGUAAGGCCUCGCGCGACUGGAGCGGCCGAUGUCAGAUUAGGUAGUUGGUGGGGUAAAGGCUCACCAAGCCAACGAUCUGUAGCUGGUCUGAGAGGACGACCAGCCACACUGGGACUGAGACACGGCCCAGACUCCUACGGGAGGCAGCAGUGGGGAAUUUUGGACAAUGGGCGCAAGCCUGAUCCAGCAAUGCCGCGUGCAGGAAGAAGGCCUUCGGGUUGUAAACUGCUUUUGUACGGAACGAAACGGCUCUGGUUAAUACCCGGGGCUAAUGACGGUACCGUAAGAAUAAGCACCGGCUAACUACGUG
RNAcentral lists this ribosomal RNA (482 nucleotides) under uncultured bacterium. Its description in RNAcentral is "partial 16S ribosomal RNA". It matches the Rfam family "Bacterial small subunit ribosomal RNA", at positions 30 to 507 of the family's 1533-position model. The record is from RNAcentral.